UGGGGAAUAUUGCACAAUGGGCGCAAGCCUGAUGCAGCCAUGCCGCGUGUGUGAAGAAGGCCUUCGGGUUGUAAAGCACUUUCAGCGGGGAGGAAGGCGAUAAGGUUAAUAACCUUGUCGAUUGACGUUACCCGCAGAAGAAGCACCGGCUAACUCCGUGCCAGCAGCUGCGGUAAUACGGAGGGUGCAAGCGUUAAUCGGAAUUACUGGGCGUAAAGCGCACGCAGGCGGUCUGUCAAGUCGGAUGUGAAAUCCCCGGGCUUAACCUGGGAACUGCAUUCGAAACUGGCAGGCUAGAGUCUUGUAGAGGGGGGUAGAAUUCCAGGUGUAGCGGUGAAAUGCGUAGAGAUCUGGAGGAAUACCGGUGGCGAAGGCGGCCCCCUGGACAAAGACUGACGCUCAGGUGCGAAAGCGUGGGGAGCAAACAGG
Molecule: ribosomal RNA, 429 nt
Filed under: Chloroflexota bacterium
Lineage: Bacteria; Bacillati; Chloroflexota
Description: Chloroflexi bacterium partial 16S ribosomal RNA
Rfam family: Bacterial small subunit ribosomal RNA
Source: RNAcentral